Molecule: non-coding RNA, 219 nt
Organism: Pelobates cultripes (western spadefoot toad)
Lineage: Eukaryota; Metazoa; Chordata; Amphibia; Anura; Pelobatidae
Source: the annotation of a GenBank genome assembly
GUUGAGUCUCCUGCUGAUUUAUUCCCUAGUUCUAGGCCUUGAGCACAGCGGCCCUCUUGUUUUCAUGUUUCAUGCUCUGACUGUGGGUGUCACAAACUCACCAUUACCCGGCGCCCGCGAUGCUCCACUCCUCCGGCGACGCGGGCAGACCGCAUUGCGUGACUGCAUUGCCUCAGUCCUUGGGUUGCGAGGCCCGAAAGCUCCAUGUGGCCGCGCGGC